GACGAACGCUGGCGGCGUGCUUAACACAUGCAAGUCGAACGGAAAGGCCCUGCUUUUGUGUUGUGCUCGAGUGGCUAACGGGUGAGUAACACGUGAGUGACCUGCCCUUGACUUUGGGGUAACUUCAGGAAACUGGGGCUAAUACCGGAUAGUAGCUCCUGCUGCAUGGUGGGGGUUGGAAAGUUUCGGCGGUUGGUGAUGUACUCGCGGCUUAUCAGCGUGUUGGUGGGGUAGUGGCUUACCAAGGCUUUGACGGGUAGCCGGCAUGGGAGGGUGAACGGCGACAUUAGGACUGAGAUACGGACCAGACUACUACGGGAGGCAGCAGUGGGGAGUAUUGCACAAUGGGGGGAAGCCUGAGGCAGCAACGCCGCGUGCGGGAUGACGGCUUUCGGGGUGUAAACCGAGUUAGCCUGUGACGAAGAGUGAGUGACGGUAAUGGGUAAAGAAGCACCGGCUAACUACGUG
This 468-nucleotide ribosomal RNA is filed under the name uncultured bacterium. Its description in RNAcentral is "partial 16S ribosomal RNA". It matches the Rfam family "Bacterial small subunit ribosomal RNA", at positions 28 to 507 of the family's 1533-position model. The record is from RNAcentral.